UACGUAGGGGGCGAGCGUUGUCCGGAGUUACUGGGCGUAAAGCGCACGCAGGCGGUCUGCUAAGUUUGGAGUGACAGUUGGUGGCUCAACCACCAAAGUGCUUUGAAAACUGACAGACUUGAGGGCUUCAGAGGGACACGGAAUUCCGGGUGGAGUGGUGAAAUGCGUAGAUAUCGGGAGGAACACCGGUGGCGAAGGCGGUUCUCUGGGCCUUACCUGACGCUGAGGAGCGAAAGCGUGGGGAGCGAACAGG
RNAcentral lists this ribosomal RNA (253 nucleotides) under uncultured bacterium. RNAcentral describes it as "partial 16S ribosomal RNA". It matches the Rfam family "Bacterial small subunit ribosomal RNA", at positions 524 to 776 of the family's 1533-position model. The record is from RNAcentral.